This 490-nucleotide long non-coding RNA is filed under the name Sus scrofa (pig). RNAcentral describes it as "lncRNA (ENSSSCG00070024411.1)". The record is from RNAcentral. Lineage: Eukaryota; Metazoa; Chordata; Mammalia; Artiodactyla; Suidae.
UUACAGCUCUCGCUAGGCGCGCACACGCUCACCCGCGAACGCCGGAAAGUCAGGCUAAAAGUGUCUGCUGCUGCUGCUGCCGCCCCCCACUCCGCCUCCAGGAGAGACCUGAGGACUCUGCUGCAAUGGAACCACCAAGCCAUCUUUGACCUAGCACUGGGGGGAAAAAUGUCCAGGUGAAGAACCUAAAGAAAUGGUGUUACCUGGCAAGAGAUCUGCUAUCCUUUAUGAAAAAUCCAGCCAAGGUAAUGCUUAUUUUGAAUUGAUUUUUUAAAAUCUGUUUAACUCUGAUACAUUUGACUGUUUAAUUUUCUUGAUGACUGGUUUUGAGCUAUUGAGUAAUCCAUCAAAAAAGUAACUCAUUAUCUGAAAAGUAGAAGGAAUGAUUUUUGAUGACUACUAUAUAUGGGAAAUGAUCGGUCAAUUUUAAAAUAUAUACUAGCUUAGGAGUUCCUGUCUUGGCUCAGCAGAAAUGACUCCAACUAGGAAC